This 233-nucleotide non-coding RNA is filed under the name Bacillus manliponensis. RNAcentral describes it as "T-box sequence". It matches the Rfam family "T-box leader". From Rfam's summary of the family: Uncharged tRNA acts as the effector for transcription antitermination of genes in the T-box leader family. T-boxes are found upstream of many aminoacyl-tRNA synthetase genes and some amino acid biosynthetic genes usually in Gram-positive bacteria. The anticodon of a specific tRNA base pairs to a specifier sequence within the T-box motif, and the NCCA acceptor tail of the tRNA base pairs to a conserved bulge in the T-box antiterminator hairpin. Lineage: Bacteria; Bacillati; Bacillota; Bacilli; Caryophanales; Bacillaceae. The record is from RNAcentral.
AACAAUGCGUUGAAAGGGAAGAGUACAGCGUCCUACGUCUUCAGAGAGAGAAAUCAUUUGCUGAGAGAUUUCUUAGAUGGUAGUGUUGGAAGGUCGCCCUUGAGCAGCUUCUUUGAACUCACGUUUGGAAAGUAGGAGGAGCCGGUGAAACCCGUUACAGAUGUUAAGCGUACAGGUGUAGUGUAUCUAUAUCUGUAAAAAAAGGUGGUACCGCGAUCUCCGUCGUCCUUUUG